UCUUCAAACUCUUCAUACUCUCCGUCCUCUGUAAUCUUCUCUUGA
This 45-nucleotide small RNA is filed under the name Arabidopsis thaliana (thale cress). Its description in RNAcentral is "ATSL139380". Lineage: Eukaryota; Viridiplantae; Streptophyta; Magnoliopsida; Brassicales; Brassicaceae. The record is from RNAcentral.